GACGAACGCUGGCGGCAUGCCUAAUACAUGCAAGUCGAACGCGGCCAUCCGGUGCUUGCACUGGUGAAGCCGAGUGGCGAACGGGUGAGUAACACGUGAGAAACCUGCCCUGGAGUGGGGAAUAACUCGAAGAAAUUCGAGCUAAUACCGCAUACCUUCUCUUCACCGCAUGGUGAGUUGAAGAAAGAUUUAUCGCUCUAGGAGGGUCUCGCGGCCUAUCAGCUAGUUGGUGAGGUAAUGGCUCACCAAGGCAUCGACGGGUAGCUGGUCUGAGAGGGUGACCGGCCACACUGGAACUGAGACACGGUCCAGACUCCUACGGGGGGCAGGCAGUGGGGAAUCUUCCACAAUGGGCGAAAGCCUGAUGGAGCGACGCCGCGUGAGCGAAGAAGGCCUUCGGGUUGUAAAGCUCUGUCUGGAGGGACGAAGGAAGUGACGGUACCGUCCGGAGGAAGCCACGGCUAACUACGUGCCAGCAGCCGCGGUAAUAUACG
Molecule: ribosomal RNA, 494 nt
Filed under: uncultured bacterium
Lineage: Bacteria
Description: bacterial SSU rRNA
Rfam family: Bacterial small subunit ribosomal RNA
Source: RNAcentral